AUGGCUCCGCAUUACCAGGCCGCUACGCUGAUUGCUGCUCCGUCCUAUCCGAACUCCAUUACCUGGUCAAGCGAGAACUUGGUGGCUGUUUCUGGUCACAUUGUCACUAUCCUGAACCCAGCCGCAAUUGAAGGGCCUCGUGGAUUUGUCUUGCUUCGCCCUAGAGAUCCUUUUCCCAUUGGAGUGGUUAAAAGAGAAGAUCUCCUUGAACCAUGUUUAGUCCCCACUUUCUUAGUGUGUGAUACUGAACCAUGCGCACGGUCAAUUUCAUGGUCUCGACAAGGCUUUGCACCUAAUUCUGGUUGUUUGCUUGCCGUUUGUACUGUUGAUGGUCAUGUAAAUCUUUACCGCCCACCAAUUUGGGAAUUCUGUGAUGAAUGGGUUGAGGUCUCGGAUGUUUCUAAAUUACUGUUCAACUAUUACAAAAGUAUAAACUUUGGAGAGGAUGAUAGUCCUGAUUCAAUUCCUCAGGAAAAGGCAAAUAGUGAGCAGACACAUGCGAUGGAAUGUACUGGUGAAUUGCAAGGACCUCUUUCCUGCAGCGAUCUUGGGCGGAGAAAAAGGAAACCAUCAAGAUUGUCAAAUCUGGGCGUACAACUGCUAUCGUAA
RNAcentral lists this ribosomal RNA (609 nucleotides) under Triticum aestivum (bread wheat). Its description in RNAcentral is "partial small subunit ribosomal RNA". Lineage: Eukaryota; Viridiplantae; Streptophyta; Magnoliopsida; Poales; Poaceae. The record is from RNAcentral.